AUAAUAAUAAAGUACUAGCUCCUUCUCUCCUGGGCUAUACUUGGCUUGCCUGCGGGCCUGGCCCGUAAAGACCCAGUGCGGGGCGGGAUUGGGAACAGAUUUUACGGCCCGUUUGUUAGCGGGCCUCGCGGGUAUAACCGCUGCAGUAUUGGGCCGAAGCGGGUUGGACCGAAGCGGGAUGCGGGACAAAUGCGUGGCCCGCUUGCUUUUUUCAUUUCGUCUCUUUGGUGACACCAACAAAAAGCUUAGAACAGACCCAUGAUGGUGAUGGUGAUUUCUCAUCUUUGCUUCUCGUUUCCCCAAACCGGUGACCAGAACUCAUUCACUUUAGCCAUGCCUCUUCCGGUUCGUAUUCAAUCAAAGAAUCGUGUCUUCAAGCUUUGUAAUGUUGACCCAAACUCAUUCACUUUCUUUGUAACUCAUCUUAAGGAAAAAUGGUUUCUUUUUUUUGAAGUGAGUGUGGGUGCCGACAAGAAAGUGUACACAAGACUUGUUUUUUGCUGUUGUUUUUCUGGAAACUUAAUCAUCAUUCUCGAAUAUGAGUUCUCAAAACAUUAUUUUUUAUUUACUAUAUUUUCUUGGUGGACCAUUAUAAUUGUCAACGGGUUGAAGUGUGGUAGCUGAUUUGGAUGUUCGAGAACAUAUGGAACCUUAUAUGGAAUGCAGCUUUAUUCAAGUGUAGUUUAAGUGCCUUCUUAAUCUUUUAGAAGAGUUGAUAAAGUUACUAAUAGACUGUGAAUGUACAUGGUUAUCUCGGAAGAUUUGAAAUGGUAUUACUGUGUAUGAUUGAGUCUGGCCUUAGGCAGUUAUAGUUUGCACUUUGCAGGUUCACAGGAUUGCUCUAGUCUCAUGGUUCUUGGUUGUAUAUGUUUUAUCUUUUUUUUUAUGUUUCUUUGAUAUAGUUUGUCUUGUUAUAUAUGAGCAUAUGUGCUUCAUGGUGGCUACUUGUGAUAGAGUCUUGAAGCGAAUGAUUAGAAAGGUUCCUCGUGUGCCUAUAAUGUAUUUGGGGGGGGGGGGGGAGGUUAAAGUUCUCAGCAGAGAGGAUGCCUGAAGCAACACGUGGUAUAGGUCUAGUAGAGGUGACAUGUGAAGAAGAUCUGCGUCCCGCGGCCGUACCGCCAAGGCUUGUGCAAGCUGCGGAUUGGGAUUGGGUAGCACUUCUAGGGACUGCGUCCCGUGCGGGCCUGUACUGCAAAGACCCGCAUUGAACAUGACCGCGGCGGGGCGGGACUAGGCGGGACGGUACAACCCAAUUGCCAUCUCUACGUGUUUAUAUGUUUUGUAUUUUAUAUACUAUAACAAUGAGAGGUAGUUUUGUUUUUCAUAUUAUUUAUCAACCGUAAAAUAAAUUAAACAAAUGAAACUGUUGUGGGUCCAACCUUUUUUUUUUCUCUCUCUCAUAAACGCUCUAUCUUCUCUCUUUACCAAAAACUUUCAGGCCUUCAGAUUUGCAGCUCCGACGGCUUCCAUAGCGUCGGCUUCCAUGUUUAUAAAUCUUCUCGGCAUAGUUAUUUUAAGAUCCGUUUUGCUUCUUGUGUUUUUUUCGUUUUUUUCUUCUCUGUUGUAGAUGUCUGUUGUGUAGUUCUUUUGGUGUUGAGGAGAUCCUUCGUUAGUUUGUAAGAUGUGGUGUGGUUUGUGCUCUUCGUCGCUGCGGUGACUCGUUUGAUAGAUUUGGCCAGAUCUGUAAUUAUUUCUGGUGUACGGUGCUGGUUGAUGCCGUCUCUGAUGUGGGUUGCUAAUUCUUCCAUCGGAUUUGGUCAAGUCAUUGUCGUUUUGAGUCGUUUGUGGUUGGUGUUUGGGGCCGUUCUGUUCAUCUCUUGCUUGGUUUCUUGCUAAUCGAAGGAGCUCUGUUUUAUGUCUCUUCAUGGUUGAGGCUGUUGUCUCUGGGAAGAAGUGGUUCUCAUAACACUAUCUUUGCCGGCUUCGUCUCCGGGAAGAAGUGAUUCCUCUACACUUUUUUCGCCGGCCGAGUUUCAGUUAAUCUUUGGUUCUUCUCUGCGUGUUGGAAGAUCGAAGCUUUGGAUUCAAUCCCUUUCUCCAGUUUGGCUUCGUUGAUGGAGGUGAUUCGGCGUACAUGCUCUUCGACUUCGGAGGAAGCUCGUGACGGCCGUUCGUUACAGAAGUUCUCGUUGUGGGUGGAGAUGGUGUAUUCCACGUUGAUUGUGGGUGGGCUUAAGGCCUGGAUAAUUAUAAUGUUAUGUUUAUUUUGGGUUUUGUUUAGUUUGUAUGUUGU
This is a long non-coding RNA of Raphanus sativus (radish), 2233 nucleotides long. RefSeq lists it as uncharacterized. The transcript is spliced from 3 exons. The record is from RefSeq and is a predicted model, not a curated record. NCBI's taxonomy places the organism in Eukaryota, Viridiplantae, Streptophyta, Magnoliopsida, Brassicales, Brassicaceae.